GGGGAAUUUUGGACAAUGGGGGCAACCCUGAUCCAGCCAUGCCGCGUGCGGGAAGAAGGCCUUCGGGUUGCAAACCGCUUUUAGUCGGGAAGAAAAGGCGCGGGUGAAUACCCCGCGUUUUUGACGGUACCGGCGGAAUAAGCACCGGCUAACUACGUGCCAGCAGCCGCGGUAAUACGUAGGGUGCAAGCGUUAAUCGGAAUUACUGGGCGUAAAGCGUGCGCAGGCGGUUGUGCAAGACCGAUGUGAAAUCCCCGGGCUUAACCUGGGAAUGGCAUUGGUGACUGCACGGCUAGAGUGUGUCAGAGGGGGGUAGAAUUCCACGUGUAGCAGUGAAAUGCGUAGAGAUGUGGAGGAAUACCGAUGGCGAAGGCAGCCCCCUGGGAUAACACUGACGCUCAUGCACGAAAGCGUGGGGAGCAAAC
Molecule: ribosomal RNA, 425 nt
Filed under: uncultured bacterium
Lineage: Bacteria
Description: bacterial SSU rRNA
Rfam family: Bacterial small subunit ribosomal RNA
Source: RNAcentral